GCCUAAAUAGCUCAGUUGGUAGAGCAGCGCAUUCGUAACGCGCAGGCCGUCGGUUCGAUCCCGGCUUUAGGCA
This 73-nucleotide transfer RNA is filed under the name Chlamydiales bacterium SCGC AG-110-P3. It matches the Rfam family "tRNA". Rfam says of the family: Transfer RNA (tRNA) molecules are approximately 80 nucleotides in length. The record is from Rfam by way of RNAcentral. Lineage: Bacteria; Pseudomonadati; Chlamydiota; Chlamydiia; Chlamydiales.